AAACUAACAAGGAUUCCCCUAGUAACGGCGAGUGAAGCGGGAAGAGCUCAAAUUUAAAAUCUGGCAGUCUACGAUUGUCCGAAUUGUAAUCUCGAGAAGUGUUUUCCGCGUUGGCCUGUGCACAAGUCCCUUGGAACAGGGCGUCAUAGAGGGUGAGAAUCCCGUCCUUGGCACAGAUACCCAAUGCUUUGUGAUACACUCUCAAUGAGUCGAGUUGUUUGGGAAUGCAGCUCAAAAUGGGAGGUAAAUUCCUUCUAAAGCUAAAUACUGGCGAGAGACCGAUAGCGAACAAGUACCGUGAGGGAAAGAUGAAAAGCACUUUGGAAAGAGAGUCAAACAGUACGUGAAAUUGUUGAAAGGGAAACGAUUGAAGUCAGUCGUGCCUGCCUAGAUUCAGCCUUCUGGUGUAUUUCUAGGUCGGCAGGUCAGCAUCAGUUUGGGAGGGUUAACAAGGGGAUUAGGAAUGUGGCAACCUCGGUUGUGUUAUAGCCUAGUUUCGUAUUGAUCUUGCUGGACUGAGGAACGCAGUGCGCCCGCAAGGGUAGGUCUUCGGACACUUUCGCACUUAGGAUGCUGGCAUAAUGGCUUUAAACGAC
This 596-nucleotide ribosomal RNA is filed under the name Cystofilobasidium capitatum. RNAcentral describes it as "eukaryotic LSU rRNA". It matches the Rfam family "Eukaryotic large subunit ribosomal RNA", at positions 62 to 648 of the family's 3401-position model. Lineage: Eukaryota; Fungi; Basidiomycota; Tremellomycetes; Cystofilobasidiales; Cystofilobasidiaceae. The record is from RNAcentral.